UUCUAAUCUACCAUCUCCCUCCUGACCUCGAGCACUGCAACAGAUUUCGGACGAGCUGGAGGUGAUGUCGUCAAGGUCGCAGUUCCCAUCAGCACCCUCCACAGCGGGUCUAGUGGGGUGGGACGCGCGUUGCUCAUAUCGGUGUCGGCGGCUGCGGCCAUCCCUGCCAUGGCAUCGACCUUCUCUUGCCUGGCGCUGCAGCUUGCUGGUUGGAUCACAGCGUCGACGCAGCCGGCUCGAUGGGGACUCUGUAUCAUACAUCUCCGCCCUGCUCCCAGCCUCCGACCAUUGUUUAGGUGCGGGUAACCCAACAUCGCUGCACCACAGGCCUCUGCCAUGUCUGCCAUGUGCUGAGUUCCCUUAUGGAUUGAACCUAAGUAUUCAUCCCGGGGAGCAGUCACCAUCUUCAUCUUGGUCUCCUACACUGACAGUCUGGCACCCACCGCAUGAGAAAAUUUGAAGUUUAGAGUAAAUGCAGAGUAUGGUCGUUACAUGUUUCCGUAUUCUUGUAGAAUACUUGUGCGGUUUCAAUUGUUCCACUGUUAUAGAAUUAUGCAAGCAGAUUUUGCAACACUAUAUACUUGAUCAUCAUUUUGUUCUUCGUGUUUUAUUUCUGUGCAAUAACUUUUGUUCAUCUAGAAAAAUAGGACUCUAACUACAUAAUAUUUCCAACCAUCUCACAAGUAUUUCAUGUAUAUAAUCUGGUACAACUUGGCAUGCUGGGUUCUAGAUAAGUUUAAUCAGAUGGAUCGACAGUGCAACACACAUCUCACAAAACAAAGACAGUGCAACAACACUAUAAAUCCAGUUUUUAUUCAAUAUAAUUGAUAAAAUUAAAAAAAAUUAUAUUACAUCAUUAAACACUUUGUGUGAAUUACACGCAUCAGGUGUAUGUUUUAUAUCUUUCAUAUAGCAUUGUUCCCUUUUCCGAACUGAAUUAGCUGUAACUCAAAUGACAACAUUGUCGAGAGGAAAACCAGGAAAUGGAAACAUGCAACUGAAUGACCAUGCUCUUUCCAGAAGUUUUCUAUGUCACUUGGGUAGAUUCCUUUGUAAUCCUAGAAUUACCGCGAUGAGGGUAAGUGCAUGGUCCAAUAUUACCAGAGUAGGUCUAAAACAUUUUUUUUACUCAAUUAAGGUGAGUUUGGUUAUAGACUCCAACAUUAUAAUCUGAAUUUUUGUACUGAUGUACUUAUGAUAUUCUGGUUUUAUGAACACCUAUUUAGGACUCGCCAUUUUUCAUUUCCAAUAAUGUAAGCUCAGCGUGACUUGUCUAGGCAUUUAUUUCAACUAAUAAUUGCUACUUGCCUCUGUUGGAACAGGGAGGAAAGGAAAACAAGGCGCCGACUACGGACAAACAAUUUUCUUAGGCUCAUAAGAAGGGUACAACCUUCGCUAAUUAUACAGCCUACACCAAACAUGCACAAACUAAGGCCAUAGUUCAGUUGAAUCGUGGUCUUUCAAUUGAUGAACUCAUGCAGAAAUGUGACUCACCUAAGUAGCGUGAUCGCAUAGUUGGCUUUGGUGGUGGAAUUAGAGAAAGAAAUUUGUGAGGACCAACAUUAAGUAAGGCUUCUAGAUCUCGAGUUUCCGAGCAAGUGAAACAAGUACUUGAAGAAAAACUCAAUGGAGUGGUGCAAGAAGUGUCAGCAAUUAAACAUCUUAUGACUGCUAGAUCUCAAAGUGAUAGUACUCAGGAAAGCCCACAUGAUCAAGACUGGUGGUUCACCGUAAGAUAUGGAAGCAUCACGAGGCAUUGUAUUCACCGAUGAAGAAUGAUAUCCAUUCAAAAAAUGAUGGUGUUCCUCGAUUGAAGAUUAAUAAAUAUUAUCUUUUGUAGUUGUCCCCUUUUUCCAAACAGAUAUGAGCAAGUACAUUGGCCAUAUAAGGAGUGCCUUUGACUCAAAUAUCUUAAAUGAUAUAAAUUUAGGAAUUGUAUGUCAGAAUUCUGGUAUUUCUUUUAAUAGAAGAGGCUACGAUUAUUUCAAUUCA
Triticum aestivum (bread wheat) is the source of this 1992-nucleotide long non-coding RNA. RefSeq lists it as uncharacterized. The record is from RefSeq and is a predicted model, not a curated record. Lineage: Eukaryota; Viridiplantae; Streptophyta; Magnoliopsida; Poales; Poaceae. The transcript has 3 exons.